GAGCUGGUUACAGCAUCUCAUAUACUAAUAUUCUAAAGGUAUAGACAAGAUUAGCAUGGCCCCUGCACAGGGUUUACAUACAAAUUCAUGAAGCAUUUUGUGUCUUU
Molecule: small nuclear RNA, 107 nt
Organism: Mesocricetus auratus (golden hamster)
Lineage: Eukaryota; Metazoa; Chordata; Mammalia; Rodentia; Cricetidae
Source: Ensembl